RNAcentral lists this long non-coding RNA (236 nucleotides) under Malus domestica (apple). RNAcentral's name for it is "long non-coding RNA (MDOM_LNC019653)". Lineage: Eukaryota; Viridiplantae; Streptophyta; Magnoliopsida; Rosales; Rosaceae. The record is from RNAcentral.
GCUCGUCAACUCUAUGACUUGUCGAGACAAGUGUUGUUCACCAUUUAGAUUGGAAGAGCUUGGACGGAAUGUGCCUCCUUGAGCAGUGGAAGUGUGGUAGGCUCCGGGUGUGAGAUUUGAGUUAGGAAAUGUCAAAUCCGCAAAGAAAUGUUGUGAAAUUGCCCCCAGCUUGAUGGUAGGUCCGGAUGGUUGAGAUAGUCUUGAGUCGACUUGGGCUGCUUAGGAGGCCACGGGGG